GACAUCUCCAAGUCUGGCAGAAUUCAUGGGGAAAAUUCCCUUUGAUUUGACAUACUACUACUACUAAUACACUUUUUUCUUUGUCUUAUCGUUAUUCUUUUCAUUAAAGGUAGAGUACUGGAAUAAUCUGGAGAGAAGGUAGAAAAGGGAGAAAUGAAAUAUAUAUGACUAAAAUGUAUUUGAGUUAAUAUUCUUCUUAGUCUUGGCCUAUUCUUGUCCCAUUUCAUCAAGUAACGCAAUCCGUCAGAAAAGAAAAAAAUUAGUACUAGUUCUGCCAUGAAGUUCUGACAUUGGGUAUGGUUUUCUGAGCUAAACUUCAUAAUCUUAUAGCCUAAUAUCAAUUCUGUUCAGCUUGCAUGUUCAUUAGAAUUGUCUACUGUAGUUAAUUCAUAGUGUCUUAUUUAAUUGUUUUAUAUAUGUUGUGGCCUCAGAAGAUGUAUUUUUAUGUCUUCAAGUCUGAGAUAUAUCUGCUUAUUAAAUUUUUACUUUUUUUGGUAGCCUCAUGAGGACUGGGGCCAUAACUGCCUUGUUUGCAGUAUCUCCCCAGAAGUAGCACUGUAUCUAGAACAUAGUCUGUGUCCAAUAGAUGCUCUCUUAAAUAUGUGAAUGAAUCAUAGGUGAAUCUAGAGAAUGCUCCUUUUUUUCUGCUCUGCAUAAGGUCAUAGAUAAAAAUAUAAAUAUAACAAACACUAUGGGAAGCUGAUAACCAAACAGCAACUUAAAUUUCAAAAGGUGGUAUCAACAUAUUUUUGAAUGAGAGUGAAUGUCUUUAUGGACCGUUUUUUCACUUAUAAAACAAAGAUGCAGAAAAGCUAACGUCAACAAAAACCCUAAGUCUGAGGCAGGACAGAUAGAAGCUAAAUGCAGAGAGCUGAUUUUGGAAUGCUUCAUAGAGAAUGGGUGCUUAUUACAGAGUGCAAGUCAUUAAGACAAUAGGACCAAUGAUAUGCAUUGCUGGCUGACAAUGAUAAAAUAUGUUUACUAUUGAUAAUUUCUUCUAGUUUCAUCUAUAACAUCUCUAGUUCAUUGCUACCAAAGAGCCACGAGGAAGGUGAAUACAAAUGACGUCAACUGUGAUCCCUCGACUGGCAAACUUCAGUUGUCCUGGAACACCAAGUAUAGAUUCUUGGAUAGUUUAACCAAAUCCAAUUCAAAUUAUUCAUUAUGUUCAUCACCCUUCAAAUCAGAAAGCCCAUCUCAUGUAAUAGUUACAGAAUUGCCCAAAGGAGAAAUAGUGCUCCUUAACUAUUGACCAUUCAACUAUAUGGUGCCAUGUCCAAGAUGAAGAGAAUUCUUAGAAACAUAUUUACUGCCCUGAAAAAGUUUAGAAUUCAGUAAUAUGAUAAAGUUAUAUGCAGAGAAAUAUAACAGUAAGAUGAAGGGAUGAACAAUAAACUGAGAUAGUGGAUAAGUUUGAGUUCUAAAGUCAACAGUCUGGGGUCCAUGAGAUCAGGAAAGGCUUUUGAAAGGAGGAUGAGCUGGUCGUGUUCCAUUAAAGUGGAUAAUUUUGCCAUUAACUAGAGAAGACUGUGGAAAAAAUCUCUCCCUUGCUUCAAUUAUUCUUCCACUAGUAAAUAAACCAAUCCACACCCAAAUCAUAAUACAUAUAAUACCUUGGAAGAAACUUUUAAAUGAAAAUAUAUGCACAUUUGUGAGAAUAUUUCAUUAUGGUAUAGGAAACCAAAAAGUUACCGAAAAUUGCACAUGGUAUGGCUUCUUGAGUGAAAUUUACUUUUUUUUCCUCCCAAAGCCAUUUACAGUAUUGGAUAUUCCAGUCAGUCUUUUGGAAUAUGCACUGUAGGCCUUAAUCUGUGAUCUUCUGCCUUGAGAUUGUUCAUUAGAAUUUUUAUUGUAAUUACGCUUGUGAAGUUCCCCUUUUUAUCACACUCAUUAGCAGCAUGUAGCUAACUCAUUUUCUUGAGUUAACAUAAUUUUGUUAUGUAUCAUUUUUGAUAGAAAAAUAUUUUAUAUCCAAUAUGAUACGAAAUGGAAAAAGCAAAUGGUUCAUGAUCCUACUUAACUCUAAUUAUAUUUUACUUUUAGGGAAUGGGAACACACUUCAGUUACUAAUGAUGUUAAUAAUUUAUUGAGGAACAGUUACAGGAAGUAGGCUAGGGCAAUAUGAGCUAAUAAAUACACGUCAAAUUCCACUGCCCUAAAGCCUAAAUUUGCCAAGAGAAGGAGUUAGGACCUUUUGGUUGAGCCGUCCUAACUGAGCUGUUCAGAGUUAGAGACCAGUUAAAGAUAGGACAACAAACAGAAGCAUCUGUAUAGGGGUCACACUGCUAUCAGGACUGUGGGGAGCAGAGCAAUCAGCAACAAGGGGCUGGCUAGGAGGGGAGGAGGCAGCCAUAGGUCAAAGCCACAGAGCAGAAGAAGAAACGGGGGCCAGAAGGAAGCCUUUACUACCUGAUGAUACUUUGUUUUUCUUCUUUUACAACAUAGUAGUGUCAUGGGUGAUUCUGUGGCUACAGGCAUCUUGCAAGGGUAUCUUUCAAGUUUUACUUAAUAUUUUAAAAAUCCGUUCUAAGGCACUAACUCAAGCUGUCAGUAUUUAAGUUUAUUAUUAUGGGGUGAAAAAUAAGUGACAAUAAAGGAAAAAUAGGGCUUUUGGUAGCCCAAGUUGGACCUUUAUGAGGGUUGGUAAUUGCUCCUUCCAUUUAGACCAAAGAGCAGAGUGUAUUAGUCAGGAUUUUCCAAAGAGAUAGGACUAAUGGGUUACAUAUGACACACACACACGCACUCUUUACAGAAAUUUUAAGAAACUAGCUCACACAACUGUUGAGGCCUGGUGAAUCCCAAAUCUGAUGUGUCAGGCUGGUGGGCUGGAGAUUCAGGGGACAGUUAUAGGAAGGUGGGCUGCUCUUCAAAUCCAAAGCGUUUCUGCUAGCAAAAUUUCUUCUCUGGGAGGUCAGUUUUUGUUUUAUUAAGGUCCCAACUAAUAGAAUGAUGCUCAGCCACAUUUUGAAGAGAAAUCUGCUUUACUCAAAAUUCACUGCUUUCAAUAUCUUAUCCAAGUAAAUACCUCCACAAAAAUAACCAAAAUAAUGUUUGACCAAAUAUAGGGCACCAAGUCCCCACCAACUUGAUGCAUAAAAUGAAUCAUCAAGCAGAGCACAGGCUGGAUUUUGGUUCCCUUUCACCCCUUUCAUUAGGUGCUCACAUGUAGAGAAAAUAGGGCUGCUUUCCACAGUGGGUUGGGUUUUGCUAGCACAAUUUCAGGCUGUAUGCCAGUACAUGUGGGGACCACAACUGACUCAUUUUGUAACCAGUAGGCUAAUUAGUGGCCAUGAGGCUCUGUAACUGCCCAUGACCAACUGCCCUUCCAGAGAGGAGCUGGACUUUGAUAAAUGUGACUAGCUCACAGGAGCAGAAUAGAUGAUGGCUGGUCACAGGGUGCUUAAAAUGCUGAAUUUUAUUCUGGUUCUCUGCCACUGACUUGCUAUGAAAUGUUGGGUAAUAUCACUUUAUUUUUCUGGGUCUAGUUUUUCUUCUUUGAAAACCACAGGUUUAUAAUUUGAAAAGUAUCAUUUGUGACAUGAUGUGUCAAACAUUAGCUUUAACAUAAUUGAUUUUGGUCCUUAUUUAACACUGUCAAUGACUAGGAAAAGAGAUUCUUUUAUUGAAAUUAGAUAUAUUCAACAGCCUGUUUUUCUCACAUGAUUUCUAAAUCAUUUCAUGAUCUUUAUUUGAAGGAGAACUCACAUAAUAAAACUAUCAACAAUUUUAAAAACUCAGGAGAAAAAUUCAUCUUCAGGUGAAUAAGCAAUUUCAUAAAGUAAUGUUAUUAAAUGUAAAAAAUUUGAAUGAGCUCAAUAUAUCACAAAAGUGCAAUACUUGCCUCCUUACCUAGUGAGGUCAGUAUCAAUUAAGUUUUAAGGUUUAGUCCCACAAAUUCAAAGGAUCAAUGAAAUAAUAAUACUUUAAAAUUUUAAUACAAUCUAUUUGAAGUCACUUUAGAACAUAAAUAGUAAUCAGGAAGAGAGAUUUAUUUACUUUAUCCUGUAUACCUCUUCUUGCAUACUGGGAUUCUCCUUGGAUCAUUAAUACUUCUGGAUGGAUCCUAUUAUAUUUUCAUCACAAAUUGCUUAAAAAUUUUCAGAGAAAAUAAUUAUUCAUACUCUGAUAUUCUGAUUAGACAAACAAGUAUACCCUUUUAUGCAACUUCAACUCACCAGAAUAUACCAUACCAUAACAUGCUAUAAACAAUGUGAUUAUGCGGAAAAUAUUUGGAGCUUUAAAGUUUUAGAAAGUGUUUUAAACAACUUUUUAAUAACUUUUGUUAUGGAAUUUCAAAAAGAUUAGGUCCAAAAGGACUUUAAAGUAAGACUUUUAAGGGGUAUGGCCUUCCACAAACAUACAGAAGUGUUAAUACCUCAAAGUGUGCCAUACCUUUUAGCACUAGAGUUGGGAAUCUGAUGAGCUGAUUUUGGGGGGUUGCCACUGCUCAGAGCAUUUUUCAAAAUCCAUUCAUGGAAGUGACUUUAGAGCUAGUUUAUGAACCACACAAGGAAAUUAGCUUUAUUACUUUAUUGUCACACCUCAUAUAUUUCCCUUCUCAGAUUCUUCACAGUUGGGCAUCUUCCCCAUCUCAGAGAGAUUUUUGCUUUUUCAUACUGUCCUUGCACAUAUGUCUCCCAAAGAAUGAAUGUUUGCUAUAGAUAGAUUCACAGCUAUAUGCAGGUAGAUAAAAUAUGGUGUGAACACAAAUAGAAAAUACAUUACCUGGCAGGGUACUCUAUUACACAAAAUAGCUUUUCUAAUUGAGGUGGACAGAAAAAGUCAUUUUUAUAAGUUUAAAACUUAUAGAAUGUGUGUGUUAACACUGUUUUAACCUGUUGGCUUAGAGGUCUGCUCUUGAAAAAAAUCUAAUUUUCUCUAAACUAGUUAAAAAAAAAAGACUCAAAACAUUGAUGAUUCAAAGCAUGACAGUAGAAUGUAGCUUGGAAUAUAACUAUCAUUAUUAAAAUUAGGAAUAAAACGAUUUUACUACAUGAUUAAGUGAGGAAAUGGGAUGUUUGCAAAAAUGUGAGAUAAUCUACAGUAAUAAAAGUUUUCUUAAUUUAACUUGAUUUUCCUAGCAUCAUUUCCAAAAAUUUCUUAGUAGUUUACAAAGAACAAAAAUCAUCAGGAGAGGGAAAUGCCAACUGUUUUAGUUUACGCAUAUCCAGGCUGUGUAUUUCCCUGUCUUUGGUUCAUUGAGGCAAUAUCACAGCAUGGCCUCUGGAUAAAACAAGCAAAAGAUAAUGCAGAACACACCAAACUAGAGUAGGUCAAUUAAAAAAACUUAUUAACAAGCAAUUAAAGCUCAGUAGUUUUUUCUUUGUGUGAGUUUGUGUACAGUAUUCAGGGGAGAGUUUAUCAUCUUGGGCCGAUUCUUUCCCCAGGUGUCAUUUACUGGAGAUGCCUGAGGAAACUUGGAGAAGAAUCAGAAGAAAUCAAACAAAUUAUUGUAAAGUUGCCUUUUGUUAUAAGUGAAUGAAUUUUCUCAUUGAAAUGAAUCCUUUUUCUAUGUUUAGUUAAAAUAAAAUUCGAUAUUGAUGUACCAAACCAAAAAGCAAUGACUCUGAAAAUGGUCCAUCAAAGGCAGGACACAUUGUGGAACUGAACAAAGGCUGAAGACUUAUUAAUGAUAGGCCAAUCCUAUGGUGAGCCCGAGUGAGUGAACUACUGUCUGGAAGUAGACUGUUCACUCAUGUGAAGUGAAUUGACACUUCGUGGACACCAGGGUAUUGUUAAGAUCAUUGAGACAACUGAUUUACUAUGAGCAUCCUGGUGCCCUUGCACACCCGGCAUCUCCAUGGGAUCAGGCAUAAUGAAAUUAUAUGGUGCCAAGAAGCUAGACCUUACACAUUUUAGGCAAUAGCCUAGUGAAGUGGUAGGGACUCAUGGUGGUUAAAUCAUGGGGUGCUCCUCUAGCCUUAGCAGAAAUUUUAUCUUUCGUCUUGUAAAGCAAAGAAAUUGGAGCAAGCAAAGCACCCCUGAUGACAAGUCACCCAAAACUUUCUUUUAUAUGUUGUUAAGUGAUUUUUUGCAAGCUCUUCUUUUGCUCACUGGCAGGAAAAAACUCAAAGAUUUCCUUCAAUCAAAGAACCAGGGAGGAAGUUGAUACCUAAUAAAGGCAAUCCUUAUACAGUUUGUUUCUAACUUUAGGCU
RNAcentral lists this long non-coding RNA (6156 nucleotides) under Sus scrofa (pig). RNAcentral's name for it is "lncRNA (ENSSSCG00000052873.1)". Lineage: Eukaryota; Metazoa; Chordata; Mammalia; Artiodactyla; Suidae. The record is from RNAcentral.